UAGGGAGACCUAAUCCAUUUAGAAAUCGAAAACAAUGAAAAUUGUCAAUAGAAACUAAAUUGGUCUAACCUAGGUCGUUCGAGAUUGGUAGACAUCUUUCAAAGUAUUAUUCGGCUUCGUUCAAAACCAUAUAUAAUAAAUGGAAAAAGACAGCACCUAAUUGUCAAAGUUAGACUGCUGGAUGAAGUUCCAGCCAGAACCUUGAAAACUGCAUAAGAGAACAAGAAAAAGCAGGCAGACACAGACAUUUAGAUGGAUGUGGAAGCAUAAGAAAUUGU
Molecule: unclassified non-coding RNA, 278 nt
Filed under: uncultured Anabaena sp.
Lineage: Bacteria; Bacillati; Cyanobacteriota; Cyanophyceae; Nostocales; Nostocaceae
Description: partial 16S-23S ribosomal RNA intergenic spacer
Source: RNAcentral